GGAGAGAUGCCAGAGUGGUCGAAUGGGCCUGACUCGAAAUCAGGUGUACUGCUUGCAGUACCGGGGGUUCGAAUCCCUUUCUCUCCG
RNAcentral lists this transfer RNA (87 nucleotides) under Acetobacteroides hydrogenigenes. RNAcentral describes it as "Bacteroidetes bacterium RL-C tRNA". It matches the Rfam family "tRNA". Rfam says of the family: Transfer RNA (tRNA) molecules are approximately 80 nucleotides in length. Their secondary structure includes four short double-helical elements and three loops (D, anti-codon, and T loops). The record is from Rfam by way of RNAcentral. RNAcentral also lists the same sequence under 1 other name. Lineage: Bacteria; Pseudomonadati; Bacteroidota; Bacteroidia; Bacteroidales; Rikenellaceae.